ACAGGAUCGGGCUCUCCGGUGCGGUGCUGUAGUAACCGGUGUGAUACAUCAUUCAAAGCCCGGCCGCUGAUAUUCGCUUCACCUCCCCGUGCAUUAUUAAAGGGCGAUCGGGUUGCAGAGGCGGUUGUGGAUGUAGUGAAGGAGGAGAGGUGGAUGGAUAAGGUGACGGUAACCGCUCGCUCUCUCUCUCUCUCUUAUCAGCAGCCUGCAGUCGCGUCGCCUCCACCGAGCCGCUCAUGACCAUGACCGCCACACGUGCUAUUGUAGCGCCGCUGAUUGACGCGUCCUUAACCACGCCCACCGCUGCGCACACCCUUCGAAACGCGCGAGAGAGAGACGGAUUGGGAGGAAUGGAGGAGAUUGUGAUCAUGAGAGGAGGAGGCUCCCUUCUCCAUCGAGACACGCUCUGUUAUGCUAUGAAGCCAGUUGCACGCUUGUAGCCAGCUGCUCCCUCUGAAGUCAUUCAACAUUCUCAAACUUCCACCUGUCCCUCAAGCCACAGCUGUUCGCAAGGGCGUAACUUUGGGUCUACCAUUGGGGGGGUUAAACUCGCGGCAUAUGAAUAAUUUUCUUGUGUAAAAGGUAACAUGCUAAUUUACAUUACAGAUUAUUUAAAAUAUGAUACUAUCUUUCUUGCUGGCAAAUGAAAUUAAUAAAGAAAACGAACAAAAGUAUUCUGAAUAUUUCAUAUUAUUUUAAUCUGAAUGAUGUUAUGAUAUUGAGGGGGUUAUAUUAGUUGGAUCUGAUUUUUGGGGGGGUCAUGACCCCCGUAACCCCCCUGCAAAUUACACGUAUGGCUGUUCGCCAACAGAGCCUAACGGAAAACUAGACCUAAAAAAGAGAGCGCGAGAGGGAUGAAGGGAGGAGUCUGACCCUGACUGGAUCAGAUUGUGAGUGACUAACACCAGGACUCAUGCCAGGAUGUCCGAUUUGCUCUCCAGACCUACAUUAAGCUGGAUGAGCACCCAAACAUGUGCAGUAUUUUCCUUGCCAUGAGUCAGUAGGUCACACGCACAUACACACACACACACUUUGCAUUUUCCUGCUCAUGGAAAAAGAGACGGGAAUAUGGGAAUCUCUCAGAAGACGGCUCUGAGGAAACAUGCGGUGGCAGGGAAUAUCUCCCCAGAGACAGGAGCAGAGCGAGGCAACAGGGAUCUGACCACAGCCAUGCACACAAAUGAUCCACGCACACACAUUCAUCUGCUCGCUCUCUGCUCUGUGGUGGUGUAAACAAAAUUGUCAUGUUGCUAAGCAACAGCCUGUGUCAGUAGAGCAGUUUGUGCACUAUACUAGAGUACAAGUGUGCAAACAAACACUUGGGCAAGCAUAGCAUAGGCUAUGUUCAUUUGGGAUUGAGCUUUAUUUGUUCUCAGUAGUGACACGAUCAGGUCAUAUAAUGUCUGGAAAGGUAACCAAAUCAAUGUUUCUUCAACCCACAAGUCAUGUAAUUCCUGUAACCACACUGCAACUGUGUUAGAGAGUGUGCAUGGAUCUGCACUGGAAAUAGUAGACCAUUAGAGUACAAUACACAUUUCAACAUACUAUGAUUAUGGACAAACUACUUCUACUCUUGAAUUGUGUACAGGAUGAAUAAGGAAUAUGUGAAUUGGGAAGCAGUAAAAUAAUUUAAAGGUCUCCCCUAUUUCACUUCUGAAAGUCGUGACAUUUGCCAAGCAUGGUAACCUAUACUCGGAAUUGGUGCUCUGCAUUAAAUCCAUCCAAGUAUGUUAAACCCAUACUUGACCCCUACUAAACCCAUCCAAGUGCACACACACACACACCAGUGAGAAGUGAACACACAUCCGGCCGAAGCAGUGGGCAGCUUUAGAUCCAGCGCCCGAGGAGCAACUGGGGGUUCAGUGCCUUGCUCAAAGGGUGGAAGAGAGCGCUGUUCAUUAACUUCCUCCCCCACCUAAAACUCCUGCCAACACCGAGACUCAAACCUGCAACCUUCGAGUCCAAGCUUCUAACCAUUAGGCCACAGCUGCCACCUCUAUAAUAGUCUUCAUAUUAAACAUGGACUUAAUGUUAGCUAGCAUGCUAAAGUUAACAUUCCUCAAGCCAUUUCAUGAUCAAAACAUUCAGGAUUAAAACUGAAAACGUGUGUAAUUAAAAAAAAAAAAAAAAAUCUUUCAAAUACAACUAUAUGAAUAAUUAGCUGCAUUACUGUAGGCUACAUCAUCGAGUUUUAACGCCACAGCUCAAUUGUUGCAUUGUUUGCUUUAAACUGAACUGAUCAUCUACCACUCUCAAGUUGCUUAAAACUUUUGUUUGUCGAACAAAAAAGUAGUUAUUAUCUGUUAAGUUGUCUUGCAAUUUUGCAUUCAGUUCAGAAUGGCUCUCUGAAAUAUGCUUGUAUAAAAAUAACUACUCUCUACACGAGCCACUGAGCAAAGACGCAGAUUUCAUAUACUUCUGGGAAUUCUGCAUCUGAGUGAGCAAAUGCUGUAAUAUGAGAAUAUUAACAGACUGCUUUCUCCAGGUUAAUAUUACUUUGAUCUUGACCACGAUCUAUCUAUAGUGUAACACUGCACUUCCACUCAGAGCCUGAGGGUGGCAGUGUUCACACAUCAUCCAUACACCAUAGAGUUUGGGCAAUAUGUAUCCAGACUGAGGAAUGUUAAAGUCACUCAAUCAACUCUGUCACUGGUUACACACAUUUUAGGCAUACACAAUAAACCCAUUGUUAAUAAAUAUAUGAUCUGACAUGAAAAGGCCGAACAAUAAUAAUAGGCUACUGCACUACUUUAGCAAUCCUCAAGCUUUGUCAGAAUCAAGACAAGGUAUACAUAAGAAUAUUUGUUUUAAAAACCACAACUAAAGUCUCUAACAAAGGCUCUCUUAGAGCUGAAUAUUUCCCUGCUCUUCUUUCCUCAUAGGGUGCUGUAAAGAUUCAAAUGAAGCUGCUAAAUGAACCCACAUGCAUAAUGAGCAGCAUGAAUAAUUGAAAAGAUGAAGUGAAAAUGCUGAUCAUACCGUAGCAACGAUGAACAAAUGCAGCAGAACAUUUGCCAAACUCUGACAUUCUGGGUAAUAAUGCAUGUACAUGUCUACAAGCAGGGCCUCGUUUACGAAACACCAGCGGAACAAAUUUGUGUAAAACACUCAGUUCAAUGCAACAAUUUACACAUGAAUGGUUGCAUGAACAGUUGACGCAGGAAUUCGUUCUGCAAAGCGCAGAUCACACUUUUGAUCUCAAAAUGUUGUGCAAAACAAUUGAGCAGGAGACUGACUAGAUCAAGCAUCCUGAUUGGUUUAGUCAUGACCUUUAACCCCUGCUGAUUGGCGCUCCUGCUUUGGACACGGAGCUCGAUGUUUGUCAUCAAUCACGAAUGAGUAGCUUGUAGCACAUUAUAAUAGCUGGGAGCGAGCACUUUUUCCCACAACGAAAAAACAGUCAUCAUAAACAUACAUCACACACAGCCCCAAAUGACAUUGAGAAGCCUUUUAUAUGUUGGAAAAAGGAGAACAUGUGGGAAAAUGGUGUACACACAUCCAGAGACACAUUUAAUACAACGACUACAACCACACUCCUGGAGUACCACAAAUCCAAGUACAUUCACUAUUUAAUGCCCACUAAUGUCCAUGACCUUGGAGCAAUUAGAUGGCGAUAUGACAUCAGCACAGUCCAAUGGCAUUUUUGGGGUCUAAAGUCCCCACUGUGAUCUCAUCCUCACACACACGCCCCCCCCCCCUCACGUUACACAUGGUAUAUUUAGAGCUGAACCAACUGCACUUCAAUCAGUCCUCUAACUCAGCCUGACCCGCUGGAUAGAUCACACCACGUUCAUUCUCUUGCACGCACUCACCUCCUUUCCCCAUGCACCCAUUUACUCCUCUACCUUCAUGUUUCAAGAAAGGGAAAAAAAUGCAGUAGAGUUUUGAGCAACACACAAACAAGCCCACCAAACACUGAAGUAAAGUAAAGAGUAAAGAGUAAAGAACGCUUCCUACCGGCAAUCCCGCCCAGCGCUGGAGGAAAGGGUGAAUGGAAGAGAAGAGGUAGGGAGACUGCGAAAAACGUGCCUGCCUGUGUACGGCUCCGCUCUGCUCCACCAAAUCAAUUUCACAC
Long non-coding RNA from Carassius auratus (goldfish), 4075 nucleotides. The record is from Ensembl. NCBI's taxonomy places the organism in Eukaryota, Metazoa, Chordata, Actinopteri, Cypriniformes, Cyprinidae.